Molecule: ribosomal RNA, 274 nt
Filed under: uncultured bacterium
Lineage: Bacteria
Description: partial 16S ribosomal RNA
Rfam family: Bacterial small subunit ribosomal RNA
Source: RNAcentral
AUACAGAGGCUGCGAGCGUUAAUCGGAAUCACUGGGCGUAAAGGGCACGUAGGUGGAAUGUUAAGUAUUCUGUGAAAUCCCCGGGCUUAACCUGGGCCUGUCAGAAUAGACUGGCAUACUAGAGUACGGUAGAGGGAAGUGGAAUUUCCGGUGUAGCGGUGAAAUGCGUAGAUAUCGGAAGGAACACCCGUGGCGAAGGCGUCUUCCUGGACCGAGACUGACACUGAGGUGCGAAAGCGUGGGGAGCAAACAGGAUUAGAAACCCGAGUAGUCC